Molecule: transfer RNA, 63 nt
Filed under: Ptyodactylus guttatus (Sinai fan-fingered gecko)
Lineage: Eukaryota; Metazoa; Chordata; Lepidosauria; Squamata; Phyllodactylidae
Description: tRNA-Ser
Source: RNAcentral
CAAGGAAGAAUCACCACAGGAUUGCUAAUCCUGCCACCCGAACUUAACCCCUCGGCUCCCUUG